AGCAGCCGCGGUAAUUCCAGCUCCAAUAGCGUAUAUUAAAGUUGUUGCAGUUAAAAAGCUCGUAGUUGAAUUUCGGGGUCAGCAGGUUGGUCGUGCCACUGGUAUGCACUGGCCUUGCUGAUUCCUCCCUCUUGAUGAACCGUAAUGCCAUUAAUUUGGUGUUGCGGGGAAUCAGGACUGUUACUUUGAAAAAUUAGAGUGUUUAAAGCAGGCAAGCGCUUGAAUACAUUAGCAUGGAAUAAUGAAAUAGGACGUUUGAUCCUAUUUUGUUGGUUUCUAGGAUUGACGUAAUGAUUAAUAGGGAUAGUUGGGGGCAUUAGUAUUCAAUUGUCAGAGGUGAAAUUCUUGGAUUUAUUGAAGACUAACUACUGCGAAAGCAUUUGCCAAGGAUGUUUUCAUUAAUCAAGAACGAAAGUUAGGGGAUCGAAGACGAUCAGAUACCGCCGUAGUCUUAACCAUAAACUAUGCCGACUAGGGAUCGGAUGAUGUUAAUUUUUAAUGACUCAUUC
This 509-nucleotide ribosomal RNA is filed under the name uncultured Glomus. RNAcentral's name for it is "SSU rRNA". It matches the Rfam family "Eukaryotic small subunit ribosomal RNA", at positions 569 to 1081 of the family's 1831-position model. The record is from RNAcentral. Lineage: Eukaryota; Fungi; Glomeromycota; Glomeromycetes; Glomerales; Glomeraceae.